UACGGAGGGUGCAAACGUUGCUCGGAAUCAUUGGGCGUAAAGCGCACGUAGGCGGCCUGUUAAGUCGGGUGUGAAAUCCCUGGGCUCAACCCAGGAAGUGCACUCGAAACUGGCAGGCUUGAGUACUGAAGAGGGUCGCGGAAUUCCCGGUGUAGAGGUGAAAUUCGUAGAUAUCGGGAGGAACACCGGUGGCGAAGGCGGCGACCUGGGUCGAUACUGACGCUGAGGUGCGAAAGCGUGGGGAGCAAACAGG
Molecule: ribosomal RNA, 253 nt
Filed under: uncultured bacterium
Lineage: Bacteria
Description: partial 16S ribosomal RNA
Rfam family: Bacterial small subunit ribosomal RNA
Source: RNAcentral